ACCCCACCCCCAUUGCUUUUCAUUUAAAUUAACGAAAAUAUGGAAUACUGUAGUUAAUGUUAGAAGAGAUAUCGGUACAACAGGAGGAAGUUAGAAGAGAUAUCGGUACAAUAGGGGAAAAUUUUACGCGGUCAUUUAGUGUACUUUGUUCUUUGGGUUCUAGGUAUCAAUGGCGCUAAGCCAGUGGUGGGCGAAGUACUAAAUGCGUUGGUAGACGCAGUGGUGGCGCAUUGUUAUUGGGAUGCUGGGCCAGCGAAGAAUCCGAAACAAGGGUAACAUAAAAAGGCUUAUCCCGGGCUGCCAUCGCUGCACAAGGCUAAUUCAGGCUCGUAAAAUUUUCCUUGAAUUACCUCACCGGCUAGGUCCUCGACCUCGUACACUGGUUCUGGUAUGUGCCGUAUAACACGCUGCACCUUAAAUACUUCACGAGAAAAAUUUGCUUCAUAGCCUUUCUUAAACACGGACUUGUCUA
Paramacrobiotus metropolitanus is the source of this 472-nucleotide long non-coding RNA. RefSeq lists it as uncharacterized. The transcript is spliced from 2 exons. The record is from RefSeq and is a predicted model, not a curated record. Lineage: Eukaryota; Metazoa; Tardigrada; Eutardigrada; Parachela; Macrobiotidae.